UAGUCCACGCCGUAAACGAUGAGAGCUAGCCGUCGGUCAGCAUGCUGUUCGGUGGCGCAGCUAACGCAUUAAGCUCUCCGCCUGGGGAGUACGGUCGCAAGAUUAAAACUCAAAGAAAUUGACGGGGCCCGCACAAGCGGUGGAGCAUGUGGUUUAAUUCGACGCAACGCGAAGAACCUUACCAGCUCUUGACAUUCAGGUCGCGGUUACCGGAGACGGUUUCCUUCAGUUCGGCUGGACCUGGGACAGGUGCUGCAUGGUUGUCGUCAGCUCGUGUCGUGAGAUGUUGGGUUAAGUCCCGCAACGAGCGCAACCCUCGCCUUUAGUUGCCAGCAUUCAGUUGGGCACUCUAGAGGGACUGCCGGUGAUAAGCCGGGAGGAAGGUGGGGAUGACGUCAAGUCCUCAUGGCCCUUACGGGGGUGGGGCUACACACGUGCUACAAUGGCGGUGACAGUGGGUUAAUCCCAAAAAACCGUCUCAGUUCGGAUUGUUCUCUGCAACUCGAGAGC
Molecule: ribosomal RNA, 510 nt
Filed under: uncultured bacterium
Lineage: Bacteria
Description: bacterial SSU rRNA
Rfam family: Bacterial small subunit ribosomal RNA
Source: RNAcentral